CACGCCUGUGCUGCAUCAGCGCUGGCCCCUCCCCGCCCGCCGCCCGCGGCCCAACCGCACCGCAUCUGCAUGGAGCAAAGUGAAAAAUGACACUGCAGGAAAGAAAAGCUGGACAAAGGAAAUGUUUGCAGGUCAUUGGAUUUUCUUAAACCUGCUACUCUUUCAGUUCAUUAUCCCAUCAUCUCAGGAAAGCAGUGUUGAAGUAUGUAUACUCAGAAAUACGAAAAUAAUUAGAAGAUGAGAAUUACUCACUUGCAUUAUAAAACAAAGCUUGCUCUUUAGUCCAAAUGUUUAAUGGUUUAUAUUACAGCAAAAUUAUUUCAACUGAACAAGACAAGAAGCUUCCUUUAGCUUUUGGUAUCUAUUCAAGAAACCACAAACUGUUUGCUGCAGAAAGUAUGUAUUCGGAAAAGGUAAGCACCACUGAAGUUUAAAUACUGGAACAGAAAACAAAUGGCUGUAUAUCAAAAGCACCACUACAGCAUGACAAGGGAGUCCACAAUCACAAAACCAAUUGAGGAGAGAGAACAGUCCUGUGCUUUAGGCCCUUGAAUUGAACAUGGAAAGUACAAUUCAGCUGUCAGCAUUACUACAGCAUUUUGUGUAACACUGGAUGUAUUUUUAUAGUUUUUUUGUGUUUGUUUUUCUUUCUUUCUAAUGAACUAGGACAUACAGUUCUUGAAGGAAAAUUCAAGUACCCUGCUAUUCCUAUAAGCUGGCCUGUGACUGAAAAAAGUAGAGGACUAUGUAAAAACGCUCAGACAUAAACAUCUAAUUUCCGGAUGAAACAAGGCUGGGAGGGAAAGAAUAGCAACAGAACUACCUUCUUCCUUUUCUCAUUAAUAAAGCAAAAUAAAACAGAA
Molecule: long non-coding RNA, 863 nt
Organism: Corvus hawaiiensis (hawaiian crow)
Lineage: Eukaryota; Metazoa; Chordata; Aves; Passeriformes; Corvidae
Exons: 2
Source: RefSeq, a predicted model, not a curated record